This 119-nucleotide ribosomal RNA is filed under the name Triticum aestivum (bread wheat). Lineage: Eukaryota; Viridiplantae; Streptophyta; Magnoliopsida; Poales; Poaceae. The record is from RNAcentral.
GGAUGCGAUCAUACCAGCACUAAAGCACCGGAUCCCAUCAAAACUCCGAAGUUAAGCGUGCUUGGGCGAGAGUAGUACUAGGAUGGGUUCCCUCCUGGGAAGUCCUCGUGUUGCAUUCC